Molecule: small RNA, 1107 nt
Filed under: Pongo abelii (Sumatran orangutan)
Lineage: Eukaryota; Metazoa; Chordata; Mammalia; Primates; Hominidae
Description: retained intron
Source: RNAcentral
GGCUGAGAUGGAUCUUGAGGCGGCAAAGAACGGAACAGCCCGGCGCCCCCAGGAGCGCGGAGGGCGACUUUGAACUGGGCAUCAGCAGCAAAGAAAACAGGAAAAAAACGAAGAAAGUGAAAAUGAUUGGAGUAUUAACAUUGUUUCGAUACUCCGAUUGGCAGGAUAGAUUGUUUAUGUUGCUGGGUACCUUCAUGGCCAUAGCUCAUGGAUCAGGUCUCCCCCUCAUGAUGAUAGUAUUUGGAGAGAUGACUGACAAAUUUGUAGAUACUGCAGGAAACUUCUCCUUUCCAGUGAACUUUUCAUUGUCGCUGCUAAAUCCAGGCAAAAUUCUUGGAAGAAGAAAUGACUAGAUAUGCAUAUUACUACUCAGGAUUGGGUGCUGGAGUUCUUGUUGCUGCCUAUAUACAAGUUUCAUUUUGGACUUUGGCAGCUGGUCGACAGAUCAGGAAGAUUAGGCAAAAGUUUUUUCAUGCUAUUCUACGACAGGAAAUAGGAUGGUUUGACAUCAACGACACCACUGAACUCAAUACGCGGCUAACAGAGUAGGUACAUUGUUAAUGUCACACUUUCAUACAGAAAUUAAUUACUAUGUGAAAAUUUGUCAAGGAAAGAUUUUAAAUAAAAAGUGUUACUAGAUUGAGCAUCUGAUCUAUAUUAGAAAUCGAUCAUCUGGCAGCCAUGUCUAGCAGCAUCUCUAGCCAUUGCAUGAUGGUUUUCCCCCAAGGUGCAUAGUAGGUUUAUUUGAGGACUGAGCUCACAUCUUAUACCUGUUUAUUUCUCAUGGAACUUUCUACUGCAGGACCUGACAGGUGCUAGACUCUCAGUAAAGAUGGUUGAGUGAAUGAAUAGAUGAUUGAAUUAAUUUACAAAGAGACUUGCUUUAGUAAUUGUCGACUCUUCACUUAUUCAACAAAUAUUUGAGGGUUUUUCAUGUGCUAAGUACCAUUCUAUGUGUUCAUAAUGUAUCAGUGAACAAAGCACAGAUCUCUGUCCUUUUGGUGCUUACAUUCCAGUAGGUGGAGAUAGAUGAUAAACUUUCCUGACUGGGAGUUCUGGCAAGGGCAUCCUGAGCAAAUAAGUCAAAAAAAAAAAAAAGAGGGAAGA